CUCCAGCACGUCUCGAGACCCUCGGAGAC
Molecule: ribosomal RNA, 29 nt
Filed under: Celtis kunmingensis
Lineage: Eukaryota; Viridiplantae; Streptophyta; Magnoliopsida; Rosales; Cannabaceae
Description: partial 28S ribosomal RNA
Source: RNAcentral